GUCAGGGGGCGUCUCCCAGCCAGCAGGAGACCCUGGGCGCCCGGGUGGCCGGGGGAGUUCUGCCCGCCGCGCGCCCUCUGGGUCCCCGGUCCGGCGUCCCGCAGCUCAGUGCAACCGCGUGAGGAGGCGAGACGCACGCCAGUCCGCCUCCGGACGCCGAGUUCUCGCCUCUCCCGCUAGCUGGGCGGCCUCCGGGUUAUCCCCGGGGACCGCGCGCGCGGCUUCGCUCGCUCCUGCCAAGCGGGGCGGACCGAGCGCGCCCCGGGCGUCUGCGCUCUUCGCCAGCGCAAAGUGCGCGGGGCUUGGCACCUUCCCGCGAUUGGAGCCGGGCCAGCGCCACUGGUGGCUGAGGGGCCCGACCCCGCGGGGGAAAAGCCCGGAAUUCCCGCAGGUCGGUGGGACUGGUAACCCCAGGUCUUAGAUGACGGGACCCGAGGGCUCUCCAAACUGGCCAUUCCAGCUGCUGAUUUCAGGGGUCCCCAGAAGCAGCCGGCGAGGCCGCCGUGAUUUCUCUUCAUUUAUUUCCUCACUUCUCUAAAGGACCUGCCACGAUCCCGCGAGCGCAAAGACAAAACCACGUAUAUGUUUUAUUCUUCUUAUUUAUUGCCCAGAUCUCAGUAGGAAUGUAAAGGAUGAAAAGGAGUUCGGUGACAGCGCACCCCCAAGAUCACCGCCUCUGAAGCUCUGUUGGUUGCAGGGGAGCCAGUGUGCGCCAGUUCACCUGCACACACCGGUUCACGGUUGUGGACGCAGGCCUCCUGCGCGGAGGAGUCACCCCGCAAAGUGCAGUGUGAUGUCCUGGAGCACGGGUAGAGGUCUGGGGAGGCACCUGGUGCCGCAGAAACAUCUAGAAGCUGGGCAAAGACCUCGGAGAGUGGUUACCAUGGAGAUCCUUACCCUCCAUCGGGCACACGGCUUUUUAAAUCCUGACACGGGCAGCACCGAAAAGCGUCCCUUGGGUGUGUUGGAAGCCAGAACGCACGUCAGGGUGCCCCCACGGCCUGGAAAGAAGUUUGCUGAAGGUCUCAAGCCAACCCAUCCUCCUCCCGCAGCCACGUGAAGGAAAAUUCUGGAGACGGGUUCUCCGGGGACGGCAACUAAUUGAAUUCCCUGAAAGAUUCUUUCUUCUCUCCCUAGGCUGUGAGUUUCUGUCAACUUCCCUGCCAGUUUCAGGAAGAUAAAAUGGUACAUCAGUUCCUUGUAUUCAUAAAAAUAAUCACAAUUCGCAAAAUUGAAUCUCACCAGAAAACCCAGGAAAAAUGAGAAAGACCCCUUGCUGGGGUUGCAGCCAUGCAAGAAUCUUUAGCAGUCUUGCUUUUGUGGGUCUGCCCUGUGUCAUCACUAGCCCCAUCACACUAGGAUGUGCUUUACAGUUACCGAAGUGAGGGAAAGGCUUGGGGGGGGGGGUGUCACCCGACUCGACAAAUGGGGAGGGGAGGGCUGGUAACAUCUCUGUUCCACUCUGCAGAAGCAUUCUGUCCCUGCUGACAUACCAGUAAACUGUGAUCAGGAAGUGAGGCUUUUGCUGUCUAUGAAUAUAUGGAACAUUUCACAGGAGUCAGCUGCUAAAUGCUUUCAUAGAUUAAUACUUACUUCAUACUCACAAUAAUCCCAUGAUGUAGCUACUGUUACCUUGAUUUAGAAUUGAGGAAACUGAGGCUAGAGGGCUAUAAGAACUUGCCCCAGGUCACCUGGCUUUUAAGAGGCAGAAGCAGGACUGCAGUUAGGUCAGUCUGACCCCAAACCUCUCCCACUGCCUCAGUGGCACACCUAGACCUAAGAUGCCACCUGUCUUCUUUUGCUGUGAUGCUGCCUGCAUCUCCCAGUGAAUGUAAAAUGCCCCCUGCAUUGUGAUUCAACUCUGCCCCUCAUAUUUAUCCGAAUCAGUAAAUUAAUAGGCAGGAUCCAAAUUGACGUCUUAUAAACGAGAAAAUUUAAAGAAAUUAAGCAGCCUAGCAGUGGGUAGUAGAAAGGAGCAGGAAAUAGAAACCAGAUCUCUGUCACUCUCAAACUUGCCAGGGACUCUGGCACUCUGGUUUGGUUUGUAAUAUUAAUAAAUGUUUACUGGGUUCCAGACAGUGGUUCUAGGAGCUCUCUUAUGCCUCAUUUCAUUUAAUAUCACCAGUUUGCAGACAGAGAAGCUUGAUGAACCUGUCCGAGGUCACAGGGAUAAUAAAUAGUGGAGCUGAAGUUCAGACCCUGGUCUGACUCCCUGCAACUCCCUGCCCUCUGUUCAAGGUGAUUGUGAGCCUUCACCUCUGCAGAUGGAAUCAUUUAAUAUGUACUGCUAUUCCAUAUAUGUAUAUUACUACUAUUUUUAAAUGACAAUUUACUUAGUAGAUUAUAAAGUUUGAUAAUACUCAGAACUGGAGAAAAUGCAGGACACAAACAUUCUCAUAUACUGUGGGUGAAAUUAUCAGUUGCUGCAGCCUCUUUGGAAGUGAGUUGGUCCUGUCUGUUACAGUUACAACAAAGGAACCUGACUCAGUAGUUACCCUUCUAGGAAUUUAUCCUAUAGGUUUAUUUGUAGCAACAACCAAAGUUCCAUGUUCAAGCAAGUUUAUUGUGGCAUUGUUCAUAAUAGCAAAAACCAGAAACAACCAGAAUGCUAAGCAAAGGCACUGGUUACAUAAAGGAUGGUCCCUACUUGGAAGGGAUUACAAUGUAGCCCUCAAAAAGAAGAGGGCAGGUCUGUAUGCACUGCUAGGAAGAAAUUGCCAAGACCUGUUACUAAGGAGAAAAUACAAGUUCCUCAGCAGUAUUGCAGUAUGAUUAAAUUUGUAUAAAACCGAAGAGUAUAAAACAUUCCAGGAAAAUUAUACAAGUAAUUAAUUAUUAACAGUAAUUACCUCUGGAAAUUGGGAUGGGGCAGGAAUGUUGUUCUUUUAUGACCU
Molecule: non-coding RNA, 2894 nt
Organism: Kogia breviceps (pygmy sperm whale)
Lineage: Eukaryota; Metazoa; Chordata; Mammalia; Artiodactyla; Physeteridae
Source: RefSeq, a predicted model, not a curated record